UCACAGUUUGCACUGGCAGUCUUGUUAGAGUUCCCGACUUGACUCGCUGGCAACUAACAACAGGGGUUGCGCUCGUUAUAGGACUUAACCUGACACCUCACGGCACGAGCUGACGACAACCAUGCAGCACCUUGUAAUGAGUCCGAAGAAGGGCCUGUUUCCAAGCCUGUCCCACUACAUUUAAGCCUUGGUAAGGUUCCUCGCGUAUCAUCGAAUUAAACCACAUGCUCCACCGCUUGUGCGGGCCCCCGUCAAUUCCUUUGAGUUUCAAACUUGCGUUCGUACUCCCCAGGUGGGAUACUUAUCACUUUCGCUUAGCCACUGAGCCUUGCGGCCCAACAGCUAGUAUCCAUCGUUUACGGCGUGGACUAC
Molecule: unclassified non-coding RNA, 372 nt
Filed under: uncultured Flavobacteriaceae bacterium
Lineage: Bacteria; Pseudomonadati; Bacteroidota; Flavobacteriia; Flavobacteriales; Flavobacteriaceae
Description: contains 16S-23S intergenic spacer region
Source: RNAcentral